AGAAAUUAUAUGAAAUUAUUCUUUGGAGAAAAACAAAUAAUUAAAUUCUUUUUAGUAGGUAUAAAAAUAAAACAUAACUAUGCAGCUUAUUAUAAAAAUAUAAUAAAAUAAUGUAAGACACCUUACAACUAAAAGAAAAUACCUAAGCGGCUCACUAAUGUAUGAACAAUACACUGAAAUACGUUCCACAGAUAAUAAUAUCUAUGACAUUGCAAGUACGUACUCUGUGGUACUAAUUCGUAAACUAAAAUACUAAAUUGACAGGACCAAACGUAGCGCCCUCCUUGUCACAUGUUUCUUGUGGAAAAGGACGGCAUGAGGUUUAGUCCUGUUAACAAAGUUUAGUUUUAUGUAUCAAAUUAGCAUCUGCGUGUAGGUACCCUGCAUAGUCUGUGGUCAAAUAAAAUGUUUAAAGCACUUUACACACCAAAGUCAGCGGCUUAUACGGAACACAAUAUGAUUCCAAAGCCGGCAGAACAAGCACACAUUUAGUAAAUGCAAAACCUAAGCCGCCGGCGGCUUCGGUGUGUAGAGCGCUUAUAGAUACAAAAUAAAUAAAAAGAAAGAUCACAAAAUACUGAUAGUAAUUUAGGAACUAAUAAUAACCUGUGAUAGGUUAAUAUUUUUAAUUCCAAAAUUAGUAAAAAAUAAAGGGAGCGUUUUAAAUACAAAUACUAGUGAAAUCAUCCAUAGACAAACCUCUCUAUCACAGUUGUCGAAAUGCACGAAAAUCUACACCUCUGUUCACACUGAUGCUUUGUGCCUAACUUUAUUUCUAGCAGAAUGUGUUUAUUAGGAAAAACAAAUGCAACUAAAAACAAAUUAUGCAGCACAGGAAAACCACGAAGUAGAAGUAAGUUUUACUUACAAUACCUACUUGAAGCAAAUACCUAUCACACUUUGACUGCCGAGUGAGAAUCAAAAAUCAAUUAAAUAUAUUUUUAAUCGACGAUGGAUGUAAAGCCAAAAUGAACUAUUAUAUUUUUGAUCAUCUAGGCACUAGGUAUACUCUAUCAAUCUAGAUAGAUACAUGCGUCGCCAUUUUUGUAAAAAAUCAAAAUUUUCGAACACCUUUAUGAAAAAUUCUUUAACAUUUGACUAAUAAAAUCGUUUUUAACGAUAUUAGAAAGUAGGUACCUACCUACUUGUGUGCAAUAUAUAAAAUUUCUUUAUAAAAAAUUUAAAUUUUUUUAUACUAAAAUAAAAAAAAAUAGUUUGUCAAAUGAUAUCAUCAUCAGUGUAAAUAGAGGAUAAUGCAUUAUCUGUCGUAAUAUAAAGCUAAGUGCGAUCAUGGCGUAAUCUUACAUCUAUGUCUUACGAUAAGUAACGGGGAUUGUCUAUGGCCAUAAUGGAGGCUAACUUGAGUAAAUAGAUUAAAAAUAAAAAGUUACUUUGUAGUUUUGCGGCAAACAUAUCUUUUUAUAGUGCCAAUAUAACUAAGACUUAGGUUGAAAUCUAUAGAGCGCACUUUGACUUUGCUUAGACUUAAGUUUCAGUUAAAACGAGACAGAUUUAUGCCAGCGGUAUAACGCUGUCUCGUUUUAACAGUGUUAAGUCUGAGCAAAGUCAAAGUGUGCUCUACAUAUCUCAGCCUAAGACUCAAAGUUACCGCUUAAUUUAAAAAAAAAGAUUCAAAGAGAAGUAACUAUUUAAAUACAUAUUCAAUUAAACAGCCUCUUUUGAACUCGACUUUAAGUUUUAUUCUGUAAUAAAACUUGAAAUU
This is a long non-coding RNA of Maniola jurtina (meadow brown), 1723 nucleotides long. RefSeq lists it as uncharacterized. The record is from RefSeq and is a predicted model, not a curated record. The transcript is spliced from 2 exons. NCBI's taxonomy places the organism in Eukaryota, Metazoa, Arthropoda, Insecta, Lepidoptera, Nymphalidae.